AUUGAACGCUGGCGGAAUGCUUUACACAUGCAAGUCGAACGGUAGAGGGGGCAACCCCUCGAGAGUGGCGCACGGGUGAGUAAUAUAUCGGAACGUGCCCAGUCGCGGGGGAUAACGUAGCGAAAGUUACGCUAAUACCGCAUACGAUCUAAGGAUGAAAGCGGGGGAUCGCAAGACCUCGCGCGAUUGGAGCGGCCGAUAUCAGAUUAGGGAGUUGGGGGGGCAACGGGUCACCCAGCCAACUAUCUGGAGCUGGUCUGAGAGGACGACCAGCCACACUGGAACUGAGACAGCGUACAGAGUCCUACGGGAGGCAGCAGGUGGGCAUAUUUGACAAUGGACCCAAGUCUGAUCCAGCGAUUCCGCGUGCAGGAUGAAGGCACUCGGAUUGUAAACUGCUUUUGUACUGAACGAAAAGGUAUCUCUUAAUACGGGGGACUCAUGACGGUACCGGAAGAAUAAGCACUGGCUAACUACGUGCCAGCCGCCGCAGUAG
This 496-nucleotide ribosomal RNA is filed under the name uncultured bacterium. RNAcentral's name for it is "partial 16S ribosomal RNA". It matches the Rfam family "Bacterial small subunit ribosomal RNA", at positions 30 to 523 of the family's 1533-position model. The record is from RNAcentral.